UCUUUCCACUAGACCACAUUGCUUCCUUUUUCUUGGGCAACACUUAUCACUGUUGCCCCGGGCCUUCAUACAUGGCCGGCCAUAUUACAUCUUCCUGUUUCCUGCUCAGGUUUAGUGUGUUUAAAAUUUUAAAGGACAUCCUUUGAAUUGGCUCUGAAAUGGCAGUUUCUUUAACUUUUUUUUUAUGAUAUGUUCUACUGUCUUAAGAACACACUGGUUAAAGAGGUAUGAUUAUGGUUAUUGUCUUCUUUACUGUCCAACCUAUUUAGACUGGGGGAUCGCACCGUAAGUCCUCGGUGUUUCCCGUUGUGUUAUUCUUUGGACAACUUCUCUGCCACAGCUGCCUGAACUCCCUCCCACCCCCUUUUUCUGUAGAAAAGAGCUGAAACGAAGACUGUCUUCAGGUAGAACCCUUCCCAUAGUGGAAGUUACUCCUUGCUGUGGGUAAUAGGCCUUGGUCCCUGACUGAGAGAUUUUAAACUUCCUUUCUACCCACUUUCUCCCCGUACAGACUGUAACUUAUUCUUCUCAUCCUCCUGUAGCUUCUUUCAGCCUCAGGGGAUAAGGACAUGAGGGGAAUUCCCCCAGUCUUCCAGCCACUCCCAGCAUCGUGCUGCUUCUUUUUUUUUUUAAAGUGUGUUGAACCCCCUGAAGUGUAGGUGUGACCCUCUACCCCUGUACAGAGAUGGGGCUAGAGUAGGGCAUAGAAGAGUAGUAUUUAUGUGCCAGGGUGUUUCCUGGCCCAAUGGAAGGGAUGUGUUGUUCUAUCUUUCCCCCGGCACUCUCUGGCCAUCCUGUGUUAUUUGAAAAUCUGGUCCUGCACUGGGAGCUGCUGGGAACGGAGAGGGAAAGCCCCUUGCUUGGUUCCAGGCCACUGGCCAGUCCACAUUGGUUUAGAACAACACAUGCAAGUAUGUAGCCUUGUGCUUUCCUGGGCAAUUGUAACUUUGCCCAAAUGAGUGAUAAUUUCCCUACGUAUUCCAAGAGUCUAGCUAAUGAGUAAGUUGCCUUCUGGUUACACUUUGUCCUCCGAUUUGAGCAUGUCCCCAUCCACGUUUUUACUCCCAUCCUGGGGAUUAUUCACUGAUCAACUUUUGCUGUGACUUUGAGGAGAUGGGCAGGACUACUAAAAUCAUGCCCUUACAGAAUUUGUAAGGAGGAAUUGGUAGGAAUGGACCCGAUGUUUGAAGAGCUCUUGGAAGAGAUGAGCAUAACAGAAAUCGCGAUCUUCAGCUGCUCAUGCGGUGGAGUCACACGAGGUGGACAUGGUCUCGCCGAAGCCGUUUAUAGCCUUAUCGGAGAUGCAUCAACAAACGCACUGGGAAGGAGGGACUCGAGACUAGUGACGAGCAGUGGAUGCGUCUCUUUUUCUCUGACAACUAUGUUGCAUUUGUAGAAUGAGGCAGCUCAGCUGGAAAGGAAAACGCAAGCUGUGGCUGCACAAAAUUGGGCUCGAGAUGAAUGAGCACAUCGGAAAUGCCAGCAGGCCAUCCAGCCCAGUCUUUUGUCUCUGAUAAUGGCAACAGGAGACUUGGAGCAGUGUGAUGAUUACCAUUUCCCACACUGCCACCCCUUUGGUUAACGUUUCCCUCGAACAUCCCUACCUGUUCUUCUAACCCAUUACUGACUUCUCGUUCAUGAAUUUAGCCAAACUCCUCUUAAAGCGGCUGAUAAUUCCUUCCUACGCAACUCCCUGUGUUAACCCAUUCCAUAUGUUGAUCAACGUCUGCCUUAAAAAUUGCUUCCUUCAGUUGAUCUUAAAUACCUUCAAACUUCAGGGGGUCCCCUGUUGCCCUUGCGGGGAGGGGCCUGAACAGCAAUUCUUUGUUAAUCCUGUCCACACCCUAAAUGAUUUUAAAUAAUUUGGUGUCUCCUUAUAUGUUGGUUUCUCCAUCCCCCUGAUCAUUUUGGUUGCCCUUUCCUAUACCUUGACCAGCUCUAUUACGUCCUUUCUGAGAUGCAGUGACUAAGACGGUGUACAGUAUUCCAAAUGUGGGCAUACUGUGGUUUUAUAGAAUGGCAAAGCUCUAUCUUUUUUUUCUCCCCUUGCUGGUGAUGCCCAGCAUUCCAUUGACUUUUUUGGCUGCUGCUGUACACCGGACCGACGAUUCAGAAGAAUGGUUAGCACUAACUGAAAUCCCUCUCCUGGGCUGCGACCGAUUGCUCCGAAGCCCUUGGUGUGUAAUUGUAAUUUUCCGAGGUGCAUGACCUUGCAUCUGCCUCGUACUGAAGCUCGUCUGCUCUUCUCCAUCCUACUCGUUCAGUUCUCCGAGGUCUGCCUGCAGUUUAUCCCCAUCGGCAAGGCUUUUAACCACCUGGAAGAACUUAAUAUCAUCUGCAGACUUGGAGACUUUCAUUGCACGUCUCCUUGAAAUAGAAUAAAAGAGUGUCUCAUCGGUUUGCAUUCCUGGAAGGCUGAAUGAGGGUCAAUCGUAUGAAAGAUAUGAUAGGACUGAAUCUGAGAGAGAGUUAAUUGGUGAAAUUAGGACCCUGCAGGACCAAAAAUCUCAAGCCCAGCCUAGCCAAAAGGGGGCCUUCUAACUGGCUCACAAUCUGUCUUUCUCUUAGCCAGGUUCAGCCAGGCUCAACAUGAUUUCCAGGAGGAGGGAAAGGCGGGGACCAGGGAACUUCCAUAAAGGCAUACCCCGGGUUCAAUCAUCCCACGAUCCAACCACCCCUGGGGAUGCAGCCAGUAUUGCUUGAUGCCUUGCCCUGGGUUACCACCGUCCCAGGGAUACGACCUGUAUUGCUUGACGCCUCACCUCGCAUAUAUGCCUGACCGGCCCCGGCGAACCGGCCGAGCACUCAGUAGGCUAUGAACAUCAUCCAAAGUCCUAGAGUCAGUCAUUCAAGUAAUUUCCUUGUGCCGAUUACUGCACCGUAGAGGCACACUCCCAAGAAGAUGCAAAUGAUUGUAAACUCCUUUGCCGUAUCAGCUAGCCACUGUGGAGAAAAGGGAUGUAUCAGUCUGCACCAGGGAAGCCCUAUGCUGAGCCAGAAAGAUGUAGACAGCGGUCACAGAAUCGUCAUCUCAGCAGCAUGUUGUCCAACAAUGGAGUGAUAGACAAGGGAGUAGAAACUUGAAUUGAGAAGGUCAGCAAUCAGACAAUCACCGAUAGCGGACCUUCUGAACCUGCCCAGAGGUAUGAGUGACCGUCUGAUGAUGCCCUAUCUGCCACUGAAAGAGAAGGGCCAUGCCACCAUUUUCAGCACAUGUGCCCUCACAGUGACAGUAGAGAAAAGGAACAAUUCUACCAAGAUUUAGAUAAACUCAAGACAAGAGUAGCCACAGCUGAAAAACUGUUUUGAAAGGGUGAUUUUAAUGUUCGAGUUGGUGGUGAUGCUCAAACUGCGGAGAAGGUCACUGGGGGCUGUCGAACAAUGUGGCAGCAGCCUGUUACUGGGCUCUCCAGCAAACCACAGGUCUACAGAGCUCUAGUGCGGGCUGCCCUUCUUUACGCUUGUGACACUCGGGCUCCCCACAGCACCACAUCCGACACCGUGAAACCUUCCUCUGUAUCACUCGUAAGCCAUACCGAACAUCACGUCACAAGGCAGGAUUACAGCCAGUGAAGUCCAAGAGCAUGGUCAGCCUUCUAGCACUGAAGCUCUGCUCACUGCAAUCCAGUUUUGCCAAGUGGGACAUGGGAGGAGAACAGGUGACAGUAGGAUGACAGGAUACCCAAGCAGAUGCUAUAUCCUGAGUUAAAAUUGGGAAACAGAUCAAAGAGGGCAGGGGAAAUUUUUUAAAGAUGCAGUAGAACAGGGCAUCAGUGCUGAUUUCAGCUGAAAAUUGGGAAUCUGUUGGCACAGAGAGGCCAGCGUGGCACACUGCAGUUAAGGAAGGAAUCAAAGCUUCGGAAGGAUCGGAAGACAAGGAGGCCAAGCUCCGAGCACAACGGAGGACAGUUUUUGUGUGCGCAGAGUGUGGUCGGGACUGUGGGCCCUGCAUUGACCUUUUUCACUGUCCCCAGGGAUCCUCAUCUGUCAGUGGCAUUUUUAUUAAAUUCAUAGGACAAGUCUAUAUACGGCUGGAUCGGAUCAUGGUUCGACCCGUGAUCUCAGGUUCUCAAUUUCUCGAAGCUCUAGUAUUUAGUAAAUGUUCAUGUGUACAUGGCACAGUUCCAGUACCUACCAUAAUGAAUAAAGUCAGCGAGAUUCCUCCUUCCCACCA
Molecule: long non-coding RNA, 4174 nt
Organism: Ornithorhynchus anatinus (platypus)
Lineage: Eukaryota; Metazoa; Chordata; Mammalia; Monotremata; Ornithorhynchidae
Exons: 2
Source: RefSeq, a predicted model, not a curated record